Oncorhynchus tshawytscha (Chinook salmon) is the source of this 313-nucleotide long non-coding RNA. NCBI's taxonomy places the organism in Eukaryota, Metazoa, Chordata, Actinopteri, Salmoniformes, Salmonidae. The record is from Ensembl.
GUAACCAGCAGGUAGCCUAGUGGUUAGAGCGUUGGGCCAGUAACCAGCAGGUAGCCUAGUGGUUAGAGCGUUGGGCCAGUAACCAGCAGGUAGUCUAGUGGUUAGAGCGUUGGGCCAGUAACCAGCAGGUAGCCUAGUGGUUAGAGCGUUGGGCCAGUAACCAGCAGGUAGCCUAGUGGUUAGAGCGUUGGGCCAGUAACUGAAAGGUUGUUGGAUUGAAUCCCCGAGCUGACAAGGUAAAAAAUCUGUUGUUCUGCCCCUGAACAAGGCAGUUAACCCACAAUUUCCUAGGCCGUCAUUGUGAAUAAGAAUG